Molecule: unclassified non-coding RNA, 282 nt
Filed under: plant metagenome
Description: partial contains small subunit ribosomal RNA, internal transcribed spacer 1, and 5.8S ribosomal RNA
Source: RNAcentral
UUUCCGUAGGUGAACCUGCGGAAGGAUCAUUGUCGAAACCUGCCCAGCAGAACGACCCGCGAACUUGUAUAAACAACCGGGGGCGGGGGGCGUUCUCGCCCCGUGCCCCCGAACGGCGGGGAGACACUCGUGCCUUCUUGCCGAACAACGAACCCCGGCGCGGUCUGCGCCAAGGAGCUUCAACUAAAGAGUGCCUCCGGUCGCCUCGGAAACGGCGUGCGUGCCGGGGGCGAAUCUUGUGCAAAACCAUAACGACUCUCGGCAACGGAUAUCUCGGCUCUC